Molecule: ribosomal RNA, 250 nt
Filed under: uncultured bacterium
Lineage: Bacteria
Description: partial 16S ribosomal RNA
Rfam family: Bacterial small subunit ribosomal RNA
Source: RNAcentral
UACGAAGGGGGCUAGCGUUGCUCGGAAUCACUGGGCGUAAAGCGCACGUAGGCGGAUCUUUAAGUCGGGGGUGAAAUCCCGGAGCUCAACUCCGGAACUGCCUUCGAUACUGAAGAUCUUGAGUCCGGGAGAGGUGAGUGGAACUGCGAGUGUAGAGGUGAAAUUCGUAGAUAUUCGCAAGAACACCAGUGGCGAAGGCGGCUCACUGGCCCGGUACUGACGCUGAGGUGCGAAAGCGUGGGGAGCAAAC